AUUGAACGCUGGCGGCAUGCUUUACACAUGCAAGUCGAACGGCAGCGCGGGCUUCGGCCUGGCGGCGAGUGGCGAACGGGUGAGUAAUACAUCGGAACGUGCCCAGUAGUGGGGGAUAGCUCGGCUAAAGCCGGAUUAAUACCGCAUACGACCUGAGGGUGAAAGCGGGGGAUCUUCGGACCUCGCGCUAUUGGAGCGGCCGAUGGCAGAUUAGCUAGUUGGUGAGGUAAAGGCCUACCAAGGCGACGAUCUGUAGCUGGUCUGAGAGGACGACCAGCCACACUGGGACUGAGACACGGCCCAGACUCCUACGGGAGGCAGCAGUGGGGAAUUUUGGACAAUGGGCGAAAGCCUGAUCCAGCAAUGCCGCGUGUGUGAUGAAGGCCUUCGGGUCGUAAAGCACUUUUGGCGGGAACGAAAAGGACUGUGCCAAUACCACGGUUCGAUGACGGUACCCGCAGAAUAAGCACCGGCUAACUACGUG
This 484-nucleotide ribosomal RNA is filed under the name uncultured bacterium. RNAcentral's name for it is "partial 16S ribosomal RNA". It matches the Rfam family "Bacterial small subunit ribosomal RNA", at positions 29 to 507 of the family's 1533-position model. The record is from RNAcentral.